GAUGAACGCUGGCGGCGUGCCUAAUACAUGCAAGUCGAGUGAACAGACGAGGAGCUUGCUCCUCUGACGUUAGCGGCGGACGGGUGAGUAACACGUGGAUAACCUACCUAUAAGACUGGGAUAACUUCGGGAAACCGGAGCUAAUACCGGAUAAUAUAUUGAACCGCAUGGUUCAAUAGUGAAAGACGGUUUUGCUGUCACUUAUAGAUGGAUCCGCGCCGCAUUAGCUAGUUGGUAAGGUAACGGCUUACCAAGGCGACGAUGCGUAGCCGACCUGAGGGGGUGAUCGGCCACACUGGAACUGAGACACGGUCCAGACUCCUACGGGAGGCAGCAGUAGGGAAUCUUCCGCAAUGGGCGAAAGCCUGACGGAGCAACGCCGCGUGAGUGAUGAAGGUCUUCGGAUCGUAAAACUCUGUUAUUAGGGAAGAACAAAUGUGUAAGUAACUAUGCACGUCUUGACGGUACCUAAUCAGAAAGCCACGGCUAACUACGUG
Molecule: ribosomal RNA, 497 nt
Filed under: uncultured bacterium
Lineage: Bacteria
Description: partial 16S ribosomal RNA
Rfam family: Bacterial small subunit ribosomal RNA
Source: RNAcentral